CAGUGUGGCACAGAAUAACCCAGUAACUCUGAUGUCAUGGCACCUGGCAGAAACAUGCCGGUGUCACUUCGGAUGCAUUCAGAUUGUAGAAACUUCACACAUCCUGACGUUAACAACUCAUCUAACUUGUCAUGUGAUAGUUUUCCGUCUGACUGAGGAAGAUUCAAGUGUUGCACAUUUCCAGCCGAGGUGUGUUUUUGGUCCUUCGGGAAAAUGAGAACAUGAAGGAUGUCUGAUAUGUGAUUCAACAACAGAUGGAGAGCAGGGUUGACUUUGUUGGUUUGGACAGCAGGUGGCGCUGCUGCAUCAACAAUCAGCGGAGACUCAAACACACAAACGUACCUUUAUCUCCUCUACAUUUCCAGCAGGCUGCAAACACUUUUAAACCCAGUCUAUAAAACCUACUGGCUGCU
This is a long non-coding RNA of Siniperca chuatsi (mandarin fish), 413 nucleotides long. RefSeq lists it as uncharacterized. Lineage: Eukaryota; Metazoa; Chordata; Actinopteri; Centrarchiformes; Sinipercidae. The transcript is spliced from 3 exons. The record is from RefSeq and is a predicted model, not a curated record.